GGGUCUGUGUGUCUGUCUAUAUGCUGUUUCUUCCCCGGGAUAGACCAGGAAUGGAGUCUUAGAACUUUUAAGGAAGAGGUGGACACUGAAGGAAGAUGGAAAUACUGGGAGGGAGCUAUGAGCCUCUGGUGAAACAAAGGUCCAGGAUGAGGAGGACAGAAGGUCCCAGCUGCUGCUGGCUCUGACUCUCCACAAACCUAGUAGAGUGGAGCAACCCCCCUCACCUUCACUUAUCUAUGGAUGCCACCACUAUGUCAUGGCAGGAGAAAGCUCCCUACUCAAUGGAGUCACAUGCAGAAGACAGCAGCCUACCCAGCAAGCUGUUUUGCUUCGCUUCCCUACCUCAUUCAGAAUACUUUAACAACCUCUCUCGUCACCUACUGUUCUGCAAUAUGGUCCUAAUCCAAGUCCAACUGAAGUAAAUGGAAAGAGUCCCACUGACUUUUGCGGACUUUGAAUCAGGCCAUAUGGCAGUAGACUAAGGGCCUAUCCACACAGAAAGUGUGCAACAAGCCAGGGUAUGAAUCUACAGGGUGCCACUCAUUAACUGGCUGUGUAGACCUUGCUAGGCACAAAGUGCACUGUGGAACUUUUAGUGCACAGUACCAGGAUCCACACAAUGACUCAGUGUGUGGCAGGCUGGUGUGAUGUAGGUUCACACCCUGGCUUGUUGUGCACUAACUCUCCAUGUAGGCAAGCCCUAAGUAUGUAGCCAACAAGAGAUGCUCAGAGUAGCAAGGAGCAUUCUUCACCUGGGACUUCUGGUACAGCAAGCAGGGAAUGGGGAAGAUGGGAGGUCUCUGGAGGAGGGAGGAGGAGCCAUAAAGGGAUAGGGAGAGAUAUGGUAAGGAAGAACUAGGGGAGUGAGUGGUGAGAGAGGCAACCUAGCCUCCUUGGAAGCAAUAUAUUUCUUAUGGCAUUAAACAGCAUCCUCCAACUAAGAGUCGAAAUGACAGAGAUGAGGGUAGCAGGGAUCACUCUGUUGUUGGGACUCAAUCAAUUAAUAAUCAAUCCAUAAAUAAAUUCCCAUAAAAAGUAAAAUAUCUUCACCACUGUUAAUGAAAAUGUAGGUGAAAUUUUUCAAAGCGGGGGCCAAAUAUUCCAAAUACAGAUACCUAAACUUAGGCAUCCAAAUCCACUUUAAAGCUCUUAAAUAGCCCCCAGCAGUUUUCAGAAUAUCUGAGCACUGCAGCUCCUAUUAUCUUCAGUGGGAGUUGUGGCUGCCUAGCACUUUGGAAAAUCAGGCCAGUUUUAUAUAGGUGCCUAAAUGUCGAUUUAGAUGUUUAACUUUAGACACCCAACUUUGAAAAUGUUUGCGUUACUAUAGAUGGAUACAGUAUUUUUACAUAGUUUAAGAGUGGCACAGUAAAAAGCACUUUUUUGGUAGGAAAAUGUAUAAAAUUGUACUGUUAAUGGAACAGAUUCCUCAUUUUUAGUAUGUUCAAGAGAUUCUGGCCACAAAAGUAAUAUGUACAUUAAAAUGAAGAUUAAACUAAAAGGAUUUAAUGUACAUGUAAAUUUGAUUUUUCCUACCUUCGUUUUGAACAUCUAAAUUGAAAAUCAGCAUUUUCAAAGCUCCCACUAAUCUUUCAUUAUUAUGUUAAAGAAAUUUUCUCCCCACACCUUUUUUCUUUUUUUUUUUUUUGGGCAGAGCUUUAUAUUAUGAAUCAUUAAAUCACCAAAGGCCACAUAGACGGUCUGAGGUCAAUGUAAUGCACCAUCCCCCAUAACAAAGCUAUAAUGUCUUGUUUGGUCUCUAUACUAUAUUUAGUAGUGUUAUGGCACCUCAGAUAGGGCUGUUACUAUGUAAAUUAGACAGAUAAUGAACACUGUAGAAUUGUUCAUUUAGACCAAUAUUGCAUUACGUGAAUGUACUCAAGAAUUUCUUCACCUAAAUGGGAUCAUAUAAAGGUCAAUGGUUGUAAAAUAAAAGCAUAUAUGUUCUUUUCUGAUUGCAGUUGUAACAUCAUUUUAUAUUUACCUACUUUUAUUUACACAACAGGCCUUCAGGCGUGAGGUGCCCUACAAAUAAAAAAUUACUGUAUUAUUUUUUACGUCGACAGUACUUAUUAAGUCAGUGUCUCAAAAACAAAUUCUGCAGUAAAAUCUGAAAUGGAUCUGAAUGCCACAUAGGCUCAGUCCUACAGUCUUGACUCACAUUGAGUGAUCCCAUUGACAUAACUGAAAUUACCCUUUGCUUUGAUUCAGGCUGGGUGAGGAGGCAAAGUUUGUUGCAGGGAUCUGGACAGAGAAGGGAA
This is a long non-coding RNA of Chelonia mydas (Green sea turtle), 2258 nucleotides long. RefSeq lists it as uncharacterized. The transcript has 4 exons. Lineage: Eukaryota; Metazoa; Chordata; Testudines; Cheloniidae. The record is from RefSeq and is a predicted model, not a curated record.